This 439-nucleotide ribosomal RNA is filed under the name uncultured bacterium. RNAcentral describes it as "bacterial SSU rRNA". It matches the Rfam family "Bacterial small subunit ribosomal RNA", at positions 338 to 795 of the family's 1533-position model. The record is from RNAcentral.
CCUACGGGGGGCUGCAGUGGGGAAUAUUGCACAAUGGAGGAAACUCUGAUGCAGCGACGCCGCGUGAGCGAUGAAGGUCUUCGGAUCGUAAAGCUCUGUCCUAAGGGAAGAUAGUGACGGUACCUUAGGAGGAAGCCCCGGCUAACUACGUGCCAGCAGCCGCGGUAACACGUAGGGGGCGAGCGUUGUCCGGAAUUACUGGGUGUAAAGGGUGCGUAGGCGGCCUUGCAAGUCAGAUGUGAAAGGUCACAGCUUAACUGUGGUAAGCAUUUGAAACUGUAAGGCUUGAGUGCAGGAGAGGAGAGUGGAAUUCCUAGUGUAGCGGUGAAAUGCGUAGAUAUUAGGAAGAAUAUCAGUGGCGAAGGCGGCUCUCUGGACUGCAACUGACGCUGAGGCACGAAAGCGUGGGGAGCAAACAGGAUUAGAUACCCGUGUAGUC